CAUGGAUCCUACCUCAAAUCCUGCAUAUUCUGGUGGAUGGUUAAUGUCCUUGGAAUUUACAAUACUUGGCCUACUUGGACUUAAUUUUAAUUCCCCAAUUUAGCACCUGUGUAACCUUGCAGAAGGUAUUACUCUUCUCUAAGUCUCCGUUUUCUAAUCUGUAACAUGGUGAGAAUUAAUUUCUCAUAGAGUUCUAAUGAAUAAAUGAGAUAUCAUUUUUAGCUCUGUAGUCAAUAAAUGCUAGUAUCAAUUGAUUAUUUACCCUUCAGUAAUUUACACCUCUUGGAAUCACACUAUUUGGAUAGGAUACAUUUUAACAUGUUUUUCUUUUUCAUAAGAAAGUGACAUUGAUCUACUAUCAGCAGAAGAUGCUAUUUCUUUAUCUCCUAUAGGCAGGAGAGGGGAUGGAUUUGCAUCAAGUUAUUUACAUUUGCUUCUCAGGACCUUUACAACUAGUUACAUUCUACAUUAUCAACAGUUUACCUAACAUCAGGAAUUAAUUACCCUUUUAGGAUUUUUCCAAAUUGAAUAGAUAAAAAUGAUUCCAUAUUCCAAGAAAAGGAUUAAGCAUGAAUAAACAUGAGGCACACUGAUACCACUAUCAGUAGCAGCCAGUCAGUCCAGACAAUCUUUUGCUGAAAACUGUCUACAGUUACCUUUUUCAAGUGGAUACAGUGGCCCCAUAUAAAACAGGUAUAAUGACUUUUACAGUAGAACUAUUUUAAAUGAAAAUGUCUGCUUCUGGAGAUCCCGUUGUGGUGCAGCAGAAAUGAAUCUGACUAGGAACCAUUAGGUUAUGGGUUUGAUCCCUGGCCUUGCUCAAUGGGUUAAGGAUCCAAGGUUGAUGUGAGCUGUGGUGUAGGUCACAGAUGUGGCUCAGAUCCCACCUUGCUGUGGCUGUGGUGUAGGCUGGCAGCUGUAGUUCCAAUUGGGCCUGGGAAACUCCAUAUGCCAUGGAUGCGGCCCUUAAAAACCAAAAAAAAAAAAAAAAAAAAAAGCCAAAAAAAAAAAAGAAAGAAAGAAAGAAAAAGAAAAUGACACUACUUUUGAAUUCUCCUCACAGUCUUAAAGCUUUCUUCUCUAGUCACAGUGCAGACACUAUCAGUGAACAGAGAAUCUUUGUAUUAUUUCAAAGUUUCUCCCAUUGUCAGUCACUGUGACAAAGUGCUGGCCAAUCUGACACAAUGAUGAAUCACUCCAGACAUUGAGUUUUCACAUGGCUGUCGAGGGUUCUCUACUAGUAGAUUCUGGCAUCUGGAAAUGCCACAGACCAACACUGGGUGCUCUGCUGGGAUUUGGCAAAAAUUAAACAGAUGCCUUUGAGAGAAUAGAUGUGUAAUAAAUAUUUACUGUCUAGUUUUGCCACGUCUUUGUGUAGUAAUUGACUUAAAUGCCUAUUAAGCAAAUCCUCACUUUGCAAACCUCUUCUUGCCUAUGCUCCACUGAAAUGAGUUAGGUUUAAGAGUACACUGAAAUAUUUAAAUACUAAACAAAUAUGUUUGCUUACUGUUUCCAGCUCUAAAAUAACAUGUGGGUUCUUCUUCCCUUCAUCCUUGAAAUUUUAAUGAACAAUGCAAUUCUUUGCUAAUAAUUUUUUAACUGACUAGAUCUUACAAAUCUUACAAACCCAAUGCUGCUGGAAUUUAUGAUGGAUUGAUGCAUAGCCCAAUGUAAAUGUACUUGUAACAUCUACCUUAGUUUCCUGUUGGAGAGCUUGUCAAUACACCAGUGCCUCAAAUCCAUUUUCUUGGUAAAAAUGUUGCAAUUUCUGAUUAUUAUUCACAAAGGCAGCUUCCUGAGUUAUUUCUGCUCCUGCACAAUAUUCAUGAUAGCAAUUUGAUACCUUAGCAGUUUCAAGGUUAUCAGGUGAUUGAAAAUCCUACUGCUUACUUCAAGGUGUAACAUAUACAACUGUGCUGUCAUCCAUUAUAGCAGGAUAAUAGUUUUUCGUAAUGCCUUUCAUGAACUGCUGAUUUAGAAGUGUAAGCCUAACUUCUGAAGGCGCUUAUCAGUAUAAGGCUGGGGAAGUAUUGCUUAACUGGUAAAAACAGUCUGGAAUUCUUUUGUACUAUUUAGAGAAAAGCAACACCAAGUUUCAUUUCUCUUUUAGAUGAUGCUAGUGCUCUGCCCUGUUAAGUCAUUAAAGUACAUUUGCAAGAAGAAACAAACAACAACAACAACAACAAAACCAAUUUAUCUGGUCUGCUGAAGGGCUCAUAUUAAUCACAAUGAAUCUAAGAAGGAAAUACUGGAUUUUGUAGAUUGUGGAGAUUAAGUUAGAAGCAAGGAAUUACUGAGAGACACAAUGGAGAUUUUCCUAAAUUAAAAACACACAAAAGUCAAGGAAAUUCAUAAUAAAGCUGGUAAGUAAAAAUCAAUCAU
RNAcentral lists this long non-coding RNA (2382 nucleotides) under Sus scrofa (pig). RNAcentral's name for it is "lncRNA (ENSSSCG00000051847.1)". Lineage: Eukaryota; Metazoa; Chordata; Mammalia; Artiodactyla; Suidae. The record is from RNAcentral.